RNAcentral lists this ribosomal RNA (431 nucleotides) under uncultured delta proteobacterium. Its description in RNAcentral is "bacterial SSU rRNA". It matches the Rfam family "Bacterial small subunit ribosomal RNA", at positions 958 to 1385 of the family's 1533-position model. The record is from RNAcentral. Lineage: Bacteria; Deltaproteobacteria. RNAcentral also lists the same sequence under 1 other name.
AACGCGAAGAACCUUACCUGGGCUUGAACUACGGAUGGUAAGCUGUUGGAAACAGUGGCUGACCCGCAAGGGAGUCCGCAGAGGUGCUGCAUGGUUGUCGUCAGCUCGUGUCGUGAGAUGUUGGGUUAAGUCCCGCAACGAGCGCAACCCCUAUCCGAUGUUGCUAAUCCCGCAAGGGAUGCACUCUUCGGAAACUGCCUUCGAUAAGAAGGAGGAAGGUGGGGAUGACGUCAAAUCCUCAUGGCCCUUAUGUCCAGGGCUACACACGUGUUACAAUGGCCGGUACAAUGGGAAGCAAUACCGCAAGGUGGAGCCAAACCCACAAAGCCGGCCCCAGUUCAGAUUGUGGGCUGCAACUCGCCCACAUGAAGGCGGAAUCGCUAGUAAUCGCUGAUCAGCAGGCAGCGGUGAAUACGUUCCCGGGCCUUGUA